UACGAGGGGGGCAAGCGUUGUUCGGAUUCAUUGGGCGUAAAGGGUGUGUAGGUGGCGCCGUAAGUCGGGUGUGAAAUUUCGGAGCUUAACUCCGAAACUGCAUUCGAUACUGCGGUGCUUGAGGACUGGAGAGGAGACUGGAAUUUACGGUGUAGCAGUGAAAUGCGUAGAUAUCGUAAGGAAGACCAGUGGCGAAGGCGGGUCUCUGGACAGUUCCUGACACUGAGACACGAAGGCCAGGGGAGCAAACGGG
This 253-nucleotide ribosomal RNA is filed under the name uncultured bacterium. Its description in RNAcentral is "partial 16S ribosomal RNA". It matches the Rfam family "Bacterial small subunit ribosomal RNA", at positions 524 to 776 of the family's 1533-position model. The record is from RNAcentral. RNAcentral also lists the same sequence under 1 other name.